RNAcentral lists this ribosomal RNA (447 nucleotides) under uncultured bacterium. RNAcentral describes it as "partial 16S ribosomal RNA". It matches the Rfam family "Bacterial small subunit ribosomal RNA", at positions 29 to 523 of the family's 1533-position model. The record is from RNAcentral.
AACGAACGCUGGCGGCAGGCUUAACACAUGCAAGUCGAACGCCCCGCAAGGGGAGUGGCAGACGGGUGAGUAACGCGUGGGAACAUACCCCUUUCUACGGAAUAGCUCUGGGAAACUGGAAUUAAUACCGUAUACGCCCUACGGGGGAAAGAGUUAUCGGGGAAGGAUUGGCCCGCGGUGGAUUAGCUAGUUGGUGGGGUAAAGGCCUACCAAGGCGACGAUCCAUAGCUGGUCUGAGAGGAUGAUCAGCCACAUUGGGACUGAGACACGGCCCAAACUCCUACGGGAGGCAGCAGCGGGGAAUAUUGGACAAUGGGCGCAAGCCUGAUCCAGCCAUGCCGCGUGAGUGAUGAAGGCCUUAGGGUUGUAAAGCUCUUUCACCGAUGAAGAUAAUGACGGUAGUCGGAGAAGAAGCCCCGGCUAACUUCGUGCCAGCCGCCGCGGUAA